AGAGAGAGACAUGCGCGCAUAUCAAUAAGCGGAGGAAAGGAAACUAACAAGGAUUCCCUUAGUAACGGCGAGUGAAGCGGGAAGAGCUCAAAUUUGAAAUCUUCAAGGUUUUACCUUGACGAAUUGUAGUUUAAAGAAGUGUUUUCUGCUGAAGUUUUGGUAAAAGUUCUUUGGAAUAGGACAUCAUAGAGGGUGAGAAUCCCGUAUUUGACCAUUAUUUCCAGCUUUGUGAUACACUUUCAAAGAGUCGGAUUGUUUGGGAAUGCAGUCCAAAAUGGGUGGUAAAUUUCAUCUAAAGCUAAAUAUUGGCGAGAGACCGAUAGCGAACAAGUACCGUGAGGGAAAGAUGAAAAGAACUUUGAAAAGAGAGUUAAACAGUACGUGAAAUUGUCAAAAGGGAAGCGUUUGACACCAGUGUUGUUUUCUCGAAAAUCAAUUAAAAAAGGCUCGGAUUUUGUAUUGUUGAUGACCUUAUAAGCUUCACUGUACUAUUUUCUUGUCUUUUUUAAUGCACUUUUCGUUUAACAAGUCAACAUCAGUUUCUUUUGUUGUAAAAGGGUCAUUGGAAGGUGGCUUUCUUUUCGGAGAAAGUGUUUAUAGCCUUUGGCCUCUGCAAUCGGAGAGACCGAGGUCUGCAGCGUAGACUCUUCGGGGUUAGAUACAUUUGUGCUAAGUUAUAGCUUUUUAUAGACAACUUGUUGACUAUAAUUAGUCUUGUAGCUUACUCGCUUAUGCUAUUUUACCUACGCUUAGGAUGUUGAAGAUGUAGCACAUCAU
This 777-nucleotide ribosomal RNA is filed under the name uncultured Neocallimastigales. Its description in RNAcentral is "partial large subunit ribosomal RNA". It matches the Rfam family "Eukaryotic large subunit ribosomal RNA", at positions 23 to 635 of the family's 3401-position model. Lineage: Eukaryota; Fungi; Neocallimastigomycota; Neocallimastigomycetes; Neocallimastigales. The record is from RNAcentral.